RNAcentral lists this ribosomal RNA (440 nucleotides) under uncultured bacterium. Its description in RNAcentral is "partial 16S ribosomal RNA". It matches the Rfam family "Bacterial small subunit ribosomal RNA", at positions 338 to 795 of the family's 1533-position model. The record is from RNAcentral.
CCUACGGGAGGCUGCAGUGGGGGAUAUUGCACAAUGGGGGGAACCCUGAUGCAGCGACGCCGCGUGGGUGAAGGAGCGUUUCGGCGCGUAAAGCCCUAUCGGCAGGGAAGAAGAUGACGGUACCUGACCAAGAAGCCCCGGCUAACUACGUGCCAGCAGCCGCGGUAAUACGUAGGGGGCAAGCGUUAUCCGGAUUUACUGGGUGUAAAGGGGGCGCAGACGGCAGUGCAAGCCAGCUGUGAAAGCUCGGGGCCCAACCCCGGGACUGCUCUUGAAACUGCAUGGCUGGAGUACAGGAGAGGCAGGCGGAAUUCCUAGUGGAGCGGUGAAAUGCGUAGAUAUUAGGAGGAACACCAGUGGCGAAGGCGGCCUGCUGGACUGUGACUGACGUUGAGGCUCGAAGGCGUGGGGAGCGAAAGGGAUUAGAUACCCUAGUAGUC